Triplophysa dalaica is the source of this 872-nucleotide long non-coding RNA. RefSeq lists it as uncharacterized. The transcript is spliced from 3 exons. The record is from RefSeq and is a predicted model, not a curated record. Lineage: Eukaryota; Metazoa; Chordata; Actinopteri; Cypriniformes; Nemacheilidae.
UUGAAAGUUCUCGGACACCAUUAGCUACCAUAAACAAAGUUUAUACAGAUUUGGAACAACUCGAGGACAACAAACAGGGCUCAGACCUUCACCCUUCGUUAUAAGAGAAGCUGUCACAUUCAAACAAGUGCCCGGAUUGGACAAUAGAUGCUGGGGGUGUGACAGAUCUACUCUUCCGCUUGAGGGGAGAGAUCGCACUGCUGGUCUUUGUGACUGGCAAACUUGCAGAUGGCGGGGACGCAGUUGCUGCUCUGUGUCUGACAAGGCCAAGGUUGAUGAUUUAUAUCACAGAUCCGAUUUAAAGAUCACAUGGUUUAGAAUGCAUUUGCGAACAGUAGCUAACAAUGAACAACUUUGUUUCUCAGCAUUUAUUAAUCCCUCACAAUGUUAGUUCAUGUCAAUACAGUUUUUCAUGUAAGUUGGUGUAUUAACUAGUGGUUACAGUGACAACGUUUGAUUUUAAUAAUGCAUUAGUAAAUGCUUAAAUGAACAUGAAUUAUUAUAUUAAAAAAUGCUGUUGUAGUAUCGUUCAUUGUUAGGUCAAGUCAGCCAAUGCAUAAACUAAUUGUUAGCAAAUAUCACCUUAUUGUAAAGUGUUCCCAUUUAUCUUUCAAUCAUACUGUAUUUAAAAUUCUCUGAAUGUUUAACUUUCAACCAAAUGUUGAUUUAUUGUGGGUCUGCUGCGCUAAAUACAUUCAUCCAAGUUAAUCAUUACACUAACAUUGUGUGCACUUGACUGUUAAGAUAAACAGACAUGUUGAAAGACAGGAGGAGUUUAAUUGGCCUGAUUCGUAUAUGUGUAAACGCAAAACAUGAAGAAUGAAGUAUGAAACAACUCUUUUCCUAUUUGAACAUCCAAACUAAAUAUGUGU